CUCCUCUUUUUAUUAGAAGCGAAAAUCUGAAAAAAAACUAGUAAUAUUUACCCAAUAAAAGUUUCUAUUUUUAACUAUUUUGAAUAAUAGCAGAUCUAAAACUUAAUUAAAUUUUUUAGAUGUGGUCGUAUAAUUUUCAAUAUAUAUUUUUGUAUUUGAGUUAUUUAUAGCAAUUAAAAAUUUUGUAAAAAUACAAUUUGUUAACACAAUCAUCUAUUUUAUGCAGUGGCGUUGAAACCAGCAGUUAUGGGUGGUAGUGUAUACUUGUUGGGUACCUGAGGCAUAUUUUUUAUUAAAUUGGUACGUAUGGAUUAUUAGUUAAG
This is a non-coding RNA of Cinara cedri, 323 nucleotides long. The record is from the annotation of a GenBank genome assembly. NCBI's taxonomy places the organism in Eukaryota, Metazoa, Arthropoda, Insecta, Hemiptera, Aphididae.